This 465-nucleotide ribosomal RNA is filed under the name uncultured bacterium. RNAcentral describes it as "partial 16S ribosomal RNA". It matches the Rfam family "Bacterial small subunit ribosomal RNA", at positions 28 to 507 of the family's 1533-position model. The record is from RNAcentral.
GACGAACGCUGGCGGCGUGCUUAACACAUGCAAGUCGAACGGAAAGGCCCCUUUGGGGGUACUCGAGUGGCGAACGGGUGAGUAACACGUGAGUAACCUGCCCUUGACUUCGGGAUAACUUCAGGAAACUGGGGCUAAUACCGGAUAGGAAUCCUUGCUGCAUGGGGGGGGUUGGAAAGCUUCGGCGGUUUUGGAUGGACUCGCGGCUUAUCAGCUUGUUGGUGGGGUAGUGGCUUACCAAGGCUUUGACGGGUAGCCGGCCUGAGAGGGCGACCGGCCACAUUGGGACUGAGCUACGGCCCAGACUCCUACGGGAGGCAGCAGUGGGGAAUAUUGCACAAUGGGCGGCAGCCUGAUGCAGCAACGCCGCGUGCGGGAUGACGGCCUUCGGGUUGUAAACCGCUUUCAGCAGGGGCGAAGCUUGUGGUGACGGUACCUGCAGAAGAAGCACCGGCUAACUACGUG